Non-coding RNA from Pristis pectinata (smalltooth sawfish), 576 nucleotides. The record is from the annotation of a RefSeq genome assembly. NCBI's taxonomy places the organism in Eukaryota, Metazoa, Chordata, Chondrichthyes, Rhinopristiformes, Pristidae.
UGCACCAUGUCGCUCCUUUCUCUGGUUACAACGCUGGCGCUUUUCCUUGCUGGAUAUCUGGCCGAGGAUUUGAAGCAGCCUCAGAUUUCGAUCACGAAGCCCGUGACGACGACGGUGAAGAUACCGUGCGAGGCAGCGGCACUCGAUGACAUCCACUGGUACCAGCAACACGCCGACCAGGCUCCCAGAAGGAUCUUGCGCUUUAGCAAGGACCGAACGGAGCGGGAUCCGGGAGUGCCCGCCAAGUUUUCAGCCGAGAGCAGUGACUCUUUCUGCUUCCUUGUGAUUGACAACAUCGAGCUGACGGAUGCCGCCAGCUAUUACUGUGCCCGUUGGAUCGUCACAGUGAGAAACGGCGGCAGGAGGACGAUACAAAAACCCCUGAACCUCUCCUGCUGCUCGACAGCUCUGCCGGGGAUGGUGAUUCCGGGUCAUUCACCGGAGGUGUCGGCAGCGUUCCCAGUAAAUAAAUUGGAUUGUUAUUCAUUUCAGGGAUUACUGUGCUCAAGAGGGAAAGGGAACAUGGUGCAGAAUGUGCAGGUGCGGCAGGUCAUUAGAACAACUAACGGAAGCUAA